AACUCGACUCCAUGAAGUCGGAAUCGCUAGUAAUCGUGGAUCAGAAUGCCACGGUGAAUACGUUCCCGGGCCUUGUACACACCGCCCGUCACACCAUGGGAGUGGGUUGCAAAAGAAGUAGGUAGCUUAACCUUCGGGAGGGCGCUUACCACUUUGUGAUUCAUGACUGGGGUGAAGUCGUAACAAGGUAACCGUAGGGGAACCUGCGGUUGGAUCACCUCCUUACCUGAAAGAAGC
Molecule: ribosomal RNA, 237 nt
Filed under: Salmonella enterica subsp. enterica serovar Agona str. 400095 18
Lineage: Bacteria; Pseudomonadati; Pseudomonadota; Gammaproteobacteria; Enterobacterales; Enterobacteriaceae
Description: partial 16S ribosomal RNA
Rfam family: Bacterial small subunit ribosomal RNA
Source: RNAcentral